Molecule: non-coding RNA, 3630 nt
Organism: Aegilops tauschii subsp. strangulata
Lineage: Eukaryota; Viridiplantae; Streptophyta; Magnoliopsida; Poales; Poaceae
Source: RefSeq, a predicted model, not a curated record
ACACGAAAGGGAAUCUCGUCCUGCCAUAUCCUGAACGGUGAACCCCGUGGAAGAAGCCCCAGCCACGGAACAGCUUUGCCUCUCCGCCCCCUCCUUUCUCCCCUAGGCCGACAGCGGCGCUCGUGUUCCUCUGCUCACCGUCGGUACAUUCGACGGGAUUUGCCCUUUCUCUUUCCCCUCACCCCAAACUCGGCGGCGGCACAUCUCCUCUCCGGCGCCAUGUCUGCCGGUGGACGGGUGGGUUGAUUCGAUGCAUCCCCUGGUUGUGGUGCCUCCAGUGGAGUCGCGGGCUUCAGUGAGUGUCGCGGAUGGCCACAUUUGUCGCGCUGCCGAUCCAGCAGUGCCCAACUCCGGUGAUUUCCAGUUGGACGGAAACAGGGGAUUUGAGGUGUGCUCUAAAGCUACGAGAAGAUGGACGAGAAGGCUAACAUACCCAUCAAAAGACAUGCAUGCAAGCUGUGUUUGAACAAUAUGGUGAGGCCUUGUACAAUUGUGGGGCGUAUGUGCUAGAUGAGAUAGAACCUUGAAGGAUGUACAUGGCGACACAUGUUGAUGCAUCAGCUAGAGAGAAGUAGAUCAAGGUUGAAUUCAAGAUAGAGGUGAAUGAUGUUGAAAGUUUCUUCAGUUGUGAGUGUGGAAACUUUGAACAAUCCGGCAUGAUCUAUUGUCAUGCACUCCAAGUAAGUGAUACAGUUCAAAAUCAUUCACUGCCGUGUCGCUGUUUCUUCGCUAUGCUUAUGCUAGAGGUAGUUACAGGUGAUGAUACAUCUUCGUCUGUCGAAACCUGAGAAGAACUUCCUGAAGCAUGAGGCCCGUGAUAGGUAGCGUCCUCGAGCACUGUCAGAAUGCUUGUGGUAAGUUGAGUGUACGAUUUGAUCCUACCUCCCUAUUGUUUAGAGCUGAGGUGCCCUUGGUUACAAAACUCGUGCAACCCAAUGUAUUCAUGAUACGCUUGCGUGAUCGUUGAACCAUGUUGUGUUACUUGGUACGGUGGGACUUUGAUGAAUCUCAUUAUUUCUGUGACAUGAUGAUUGACUGGUCUAUUCCAGCUUAGUACUUUGUUUGUCAAGGAGUGCGAAUUUUUGGACAAAUGAAUAAAAUUCAGUACAUGUUGGGUUCAUGAUCAGACGCAUUGGAUCGAAUACAGAAAGUGCUACUAAGAAAUGAGCUGAACUUUGGAUGACCAAUUCGUACCUAAAGGAACAAAUGGCAGCCAACUGUAUGGAUGGUUGGGUUCCUCUUUGCCAAGUACUUAUCUGCUAACUGCCAUCAAUUUAUACAUGUGACAGCAAUGAGCAUGGACCUGAUGCUGACACAUGUUACUGAAUUUAGGAUAAUUUAGAGUUCAGCUAUAACUAUGUCUCACUGAAUUUAGGAUAAUUUAGAGUUCAGACCAAACACAUACAUAAAAUUUUCAAAUCAGAUUUCAGAAAUAAUCCGGGACAGGAUAUUUCAUUUGAUUUAGGGUUCACAUUGUUUAUCUUUGUUCUGCUGGUUUACCAGACUAUAACUCAUGUGCACUGGAUGAACAUACAACAGACUUUAGGGUUCAGGCAUUUUAUAUUGGUUUAUUUAUAUAAUCAAACCCAAAUGUUGUGGCAUGAAUCCAAAAGUAAACAUCUUGAUUGAUGGUUGUGAAAACCCUCUAAGCAUUUUGGUUAAUCGGCCAGUAAUUAAGCAAAUUUGACCACGGCUGUCCCACAUUGAUCCACGUACGCUCAAACCUACUAGUGGACACAAGCGGCGCUGCAAAGAUUCCUUCGUCCGUGCCCCUUUCACUGGUACAAGUUUGCACACAUGAACAUGUAACAGAAUAUUAACCAGGCCUAGAUUCUCUAGCACGUGCCAGGGCUGGCUUUUGCUGGAUACACGGCUUUAUGUAGCAAUACAGUGCAAAGAAAAAAGGGAAUACAGUUGUGGCGCGGAUCCAAUUGGUGUCAGGACGGCCAGGAUUGCGGCCUGCCUGUAGCCCAGCCUCCAUUGGCAUUUUCCGGACAAUCCCCUUUUUUUUAACAAGUCCAAAGUAAUGCAUGGCACACCACGCCAGUAGCUUUGAUCUUCUGCUAUUUAUCUUCUGUUGUUUUCCCUUAUGAGAUGUGAUGUUUGUCCCUCCUGAUACAACCAACGGCCACCGCCCUCCUUUCCCUUCUUUUUUUUAUAGCUUUGGACUGAUCUGCUUGGAGUUGGCGGUGAGGAUUCGGCCAGCAACUUGGAAGCAGUUACAGUAGAGAAGCGCUGGUGAUUCAGUGAAACGGCGACUGAACUUGGUGCGAGGCCGGCAAGACGACAACGGUGGUCAGCGGCUCGACGCUUAAACAAUCGAGGAAGCGAGUUGAAACAAAUACGACCGUGGCAACGGCAGGCGGUAGGCCGGGUUGAAGAUGAAGGCAAUACGGAAGCAGAGGCAAACUGUGGCGGCGUCCCACAGGCAUGGCCACGGCGGAGGCGACUCAAGGCACAACCAUGGUGAAGGUGAUACGUGACCUGAGAGUGACACCACUGCUGACCGGUAAAGCUCAUAUUUCUGCAAGUAUAUACAUGCACGCAUGCUGAAGCAGUAUCGCUCGUGUAUGUUGGUUCGAGGCGAAGUAGACCACGACGUAGGUGGAAUAAGGCCACGGUGACAGUUUUGACGGCCGCAGGGGCGGAGGUGCCUUGGAAGCAGCCGGCGGUCUGAGUGAGGGCCGCGACUCGGACAGUGGCAGCUGAGGCAAACCGCCCCGAGGAACGGUUGAGGCGGGGGUGUGAUCCAGCAAGGUGAGCAGGGCCUGCUCGCGAGGCACAGCGGCUUAAGGGUAGUGCAAGGGCGGCUCGACGCCCGACGGCGGAGUGACGCUGACGGCGGAGGCGAGCCAGUGUAGAAAUCUUCAACCCUCCACCCUCGGUCACGAGGCAAAUCAAAGCAUCAAGCGGAUCAGUGGCUCGGUCGCGGAGGCAGCGGCCUGCGGCAGACCGGCGAGGCGGCUCAUGCUAUGGCGGAGAGGGCGGCUCGGAGUCGGGACGGUUGAGGCCUGGCACGGCUGCGGAGGCCGGGGCGGUUUAGGCCUCAAAAUUUUUCCCAACUGCGAGGCGGCUUCAGAGAUGACAACUUUGAUCGGAGCAGCAUGUCCAACGACUAAGAGGCGGGGUCAACUCCAAGCCCGACUUGAAGAAGCGCCCGUGGAGGCGGGGCGCGCGGCCGAGCCGCGAUGCGGCGGCUCAAGGCGUGGCGGCGGUUCAGACGCGGCGGAUCAGGCCGGCGUAGUACGAGGUCACGACGGCCAGGCAAACCGAGGAGUCCUCCCGAGCGACAGAGUAGUACUUUCUUCUUUUCUUAGUUCCUUCGAUCUUCACGUGAAUUAAAGGCAGCCGAUUGCUGUUUUACCUCAGGAUUUCAAGCGACCAGUAGUAGAAAACGCGGCGGAUCGGACCAUGACAGCCGCAGCUUUUGGGUCUUGAUCUUGUAUGUAGUAGCCGCGCAAAUCGCAACUUGCAGCCUGUAUGCAGCAACAACGACUCGGCGGAUCGGACAAAAAAGGUUGUACCUUGGACAUGAAUGCCGGAGACGGAACACCUGUCAGUUUCGACUUGGUAAGCGGUGCCGCAGCGGAAACACAAUCCCGAUCUGAUUCGUCGGAACGCCAGACGCGC